RNAcentral lists this ribosomal RNA (497 nucleotides) under uncultured bacterium. Its description in RNAcentral is "partial 16S ribosomal RNA". It matches the Rfam family "Bacterial small subunit ribosomal RNA", at positions 28 to 507 of the family's 1533-position model. The record is from RNAcentral.
GAUGAACGCUGGCGGCGUGCCUAAUACAUGCCAGUCGAGCGAACGGACGAGAAGCUUGCUCCUCUGACGUUAGCGGCGGACGGGUGAGUAACACGUGGAUAACCUACCUAUAAGACUGGGAUAACUUCGGGAAACCGGAGCUAAUACCGGAUAAUAUAUUGAACCGCAUGGUUCAAUAGUGAAAGACGGUUUUGCUGUCACUUAUAGAUGGAUCCGCGCCGCAUUAGCUAGUUGGUAAGGUAACGGCUUACCAAGGCAACGAUGCGUAGCCGACCUGAGAGGAUGAUCGGCCACACUGGAACUGAGACACGGUCCAGACUCCUACGGGAGGCAGCAGUAGGGAAUCUUCCGCAAUGGGCGAAAGCCUGACGGAGCAACGCCGCGUGAGUGAUGAAGGUCUUCGGAUCGUAAAACUCUGUUAUUAGGGAAGAACAGAUGUGUAAGUAACUAUGCACGUCUUGACGGUACCUAAUCAGAAAGCCACGGCUAACUACGUG